AUAUUUAAAAAAUAUUUUUAGUGUGCAGCAGUAUAUGAACGAAAACGGACAACUCAGUUUCAUAAAAUGAGCUUCCCCUGAAUCACUAGCCUGGCUCAGCACAAGAACUCUGCAGGAGGCUUAGAAGCCCCCUCCUGCCCUUCCCCAGUCACUUUCCCACAAAGUAAACCACAUUUUCUGGUGGAUGGUAAUCACUUCUUGCAUUUUUUAAAACCUUUUUACCACCUAAGCACACUCCCUUAAACAUUACAGUUUUGCCUGUUUUUUUGUUUUGAGUGUUAGAUGGACUCUGACCGAACGUACUCCUUUCUGUCUGGUUCCUUUUCAUCUAAACUUCUGUUUGUGGGGUUUAUCCCUGUUGUGCCCUGUAAGUCUGGGGAAAGAAAAUCCGGGGACAAAAUACGUCUAAAAACCGAAAUCAGUCAAAGGGAGAAAUAAAGUUUGAAACCCGUUUAUUGCUUACAAAACUGCAGUUCAACCCCUCUCUGUCCAGCUCCAGUAGCAGCAAAACCGGCCCUCCCCUCACCUUUCAGGUACAGAUAAGCCCUCCUGGCCCAGGUAAUACCCAUUGAUACGGAGAUGAACUUCUCCACUCCUGAGGAAUGAUGCAAAUGCACUAACGCCCUAUCUCUUUCCACCUCUGAAUGCCUAGUGACAUGCAGAUGAACUAAAGCCAGGCGAGAUAUUCUGGAAAUGUUACAAUUUUAUCCACAGUCCCCCUCGGGCUGGUUCAUUUUCACAUGGAAGUGUAGGUAGCCCAGGCGAUCACAGAAGAUCUGAGCAGGUUAGCUCUUCAAAAAUCCUGACAAGAAUGGAAAAAAGUGCCAUUGGGAGGGAAAUAGCUAUUUUCCACCCUGCCCCACCACACACGCACACACUCUAAGCUUUCUCGGUUGCUAAGCCUCAGAUUUGUUUUCAUCUUUUCAGAUGAGGUGGAAGGGAAUGUUUUGGAUGUGGAAAUUUUGUUGAAGGAAGUAAAUAGGACAGUCAACUCAGGAGAGUUGUAGGAGCUAUUCGCAGAAGCCACGUCAGGCCCAUAUCUGUGGGGUCUGGUGGGGAACAAGGAAAUGCUCAGGGAGGGAGAGGGAAAGAUUCAGGAGUUCAGGGAACAAGCUCUGGAUCCUGAUUGUAGAGGAGCUAACCUGAGGAGUUGGUUAGAAAGUCAAGAACUGUGGGCUGAUUUCCUCUUCACCAAGGCCAGUGUACCUGCCUCAGGACCAGUGCUGGGCUCUGUGGGUGGGCAGCUUGUGCAGUUACAGGACCUCAGGCUGAGAAGAGCCUCACACUUGCCCUAAUGCCCUGCUCUCGCUGCCUUGAAAUUUGGAAUAAUUCUGAACAUUUUGCACUUGACCUGGAAAAUUAUGUGGCUGGUCCUGAUCAGAUCUCAAGGCAACCCCAAUCAAUACUUGGAAGGCCAGCACUGUAGCCCCACUGGUGAGUGGCUGAGAAUCAUCCAAGUGAGCUGAGAAUUAUCUGAGACUUGAGGGCAGCCCCCUUGGAAAACAAGAAAACAUUUUGGUGGUUCCCCAAAAUGUUAGAGUUACCAUAUGACCCAUGUAAAAUUGUCUCUUGUGGCUACUUUAAACAUACAGAACAUAAAUACUGGAAACAUUACAGAGAAUGGAAUUUUGGAAAACAUGUCUCAUCUUAGCCAAAUUGGGUCAAGUUUUUUUCUGACUGUGGCAUGUUAUGUAUCUUAACAUGUUCAGAGAAGUUGCUUCUUCCUCCACAGUGGAUUUAAUUAUAAUAUCAAUGUAAUGGACAAGUGUGACAUCCUGUGGGUGGAGAGGUAAUCAGAGUAACUGAACCAGCUUGUGACUAGGGUUGUAGAGUUGAUGUGGCCCUGAGGUAGGGCAGUGAAGAUGUAUCCGGCUAAAAGCAAACUGCUUUUGAUGGUCUUUACUAACAGGUACAGACAAAAAAAAAGCAUCACCAGAUUAGUAACUGCAAAUCAGGUACCAGAUAAUGUUGAUUUGCUCAGCAUCACAGCCACAUGUGGAAAUAGCAGCUGCACUUGGAGUCGCAACCUGAUUAACCUGAUGAUAACCCACUGUCAUUCUCUAAGGCCGUCUGUAUUCCACACACACCACACAGAUUACCACUUUAUUAUAAAAGGAUAUAGCCCAGCAGCAGCCAGAUGGAAGAAAUGCCCAGGGGCAGCUAUGGGGAAGGGGCGCAG
Molecule: non-coding RNA, 2179 nt
Organism: Manis javanica (Malayan pangolin)
Lineage: Eukaryota; Metazoa; Chordata; Mammalia; Pholidota; Manidae
Source: RefSeq, a predicted model, not a curated record